RNAcentral lists this ribosomal RNA (377 nucleotides) under uncultured bacterium. Its description in RNAcentral is "bacterial SSU rRNA". It matches the Rfam family "Bacterial small subunit ribosomal RNA", at positions 523 to 898 of the family's 1533-position model. The record is from RNAcentral.
AUACGUAGGGGGCGAGCGUUGUUCGGAAUGACUGGGCGUAAAGGGCGCGUAGGCGGCCUGUCAAGUUGGGAGUGAAAUUCCUGCUUUCAAGGUGGGAACUGCUUUCAAAACUGUCGGGCUUGAGUGCGGAAGAGGUAAGUGGAAUUCCCAGUGUAGCGGUGAAAUGCGUAGAGAUUGGGAGGAACACCAGUGGCGAAGGCGACUUACUGGGCCGUAACUGACGCUGAGGCGCGAAAGCGUGGGGAGCAAACAGGAUUAGAUACCCUGGUAGUCCACGCGGUAAACGAUGAGUGCUAGGUGUAGGGGGUAUCGACCCCUCCUGUGCCGCAGCAAACGCAAUAAGCACUCCGCCUGGGGAGUACGGCCGCAAGGUUGAA